CGGAGAGAUGGCCGAGUGGUUGAAGGCGUAACAUUGGAACUGUUAUGUAGACUUUUGUUUACCGAGGGUUCGAAUCCCUCUCUUUCCAU
RNAcentral lists this transfer RNA (89 nucleotides) under Eutrema tenue. RNAcentral's name for it is "tRNA-Ser". It matches the Rfam family "tRNA". Rfam says of the family: Transfer RNA (tRNA) molecules are approximately 80 nucleotides in length. Their secondary structure includes four short double-helical elements and three loops (D, anti-codon, and T loops). Lineage: Eukaryota; Viridiplantae; Streptophyta; Magnoliopsida; Brassicales; Brassicaceae. The record is from RNAcentral.